This 556-nucleotide ribosomal RNA is filed under the name Bifidobacterium pseudocatenulatum. RNAcentral describes it as "bacterial SSU rRNA". It matches the Rfam family "Bacterial small subunit ribosomal RNA", at positions 145 to 711 of the family's 1533-position model. The record is from RNAcentral. Lineage: Bacteria; Bacillati; Actinomycetota; Actinomycetes; Bifidobacteriales; Bifidobacteriaceae.
UUCUCCUGGAAAACGGGUGGUAAUGCCGGAUGCUCCGACUCCUCGCAUGGGGUGUCGGGAAAGAUUUCAUCGGUAUGGGAUGGGGUCGCGUCCUAUCAGGUAGUCGGCGGGGUAACGGCCCACCGAGCCUACGACGGGUAGCCGGCCUGAGAGGGCGACCGGCCACAUUGGGACUGAGAUACGGCCCAGACUCCUACGGGAGGCAGCAGUGGGGAAUAUUGCACAAUGGGCGCAAGCCUGAUGCAGCGACGCCGCGUGCGGGAUGACGGCCUUCGGGUUGUAAACCGCUUUUGAUCGGGAGCAAGCCUUCGGGUGAGUGUACCUUUCGAAUAAGCACCGGCUAACUACGUGCCAGCAGCCGCGGUAAUACGUAGGGUGCAAGCGUUAUCCGGAAUUAUUGGGCGUAAAGGGCUCGUAGGCGGUUCGUCGCGUCCGGUGUGAAAGUCCAUCGCUUAACGGUGGAUCUGCGCCGGGUACGGGCGGGCUGGAGUGCGGUAGGGGAGACUGGAAUUCCCGGUGUAACGGUGGAAUGUGUAGAUAUCGAAAAAGAACACCA